AGUGGAGAUACUAUUUUUAUUUUACCGUAUCACAUUGGAAUGAUGUAUUUAUGUAAGGGGUGUAUACAUUACUCAUAUCACAAUAGCUUUGUGAUGUUUCUACUAUCCUGA
Long non-coding RNA from Limulus polyphemus (Atlantic horseshoe crab), 111 nucleotides. RefSeq lists it as uncharacterized. NCBI's taxonomy places the organism in Eukaryota, Metazoa, Arthropoda, Merostomata, Xiphosura, Limulidae. The record is from RefSeq and is a predicted model, not a curated record. The transcript is spliced from 3 exons.